CUUGAUGAAGGGCUACUUCCGCUUAAAGAUCUCAACUCUUUGCUUCAUAUUGAAAGUGAGCUGAGGGACUGCCCAGACUUAAAAAAGCAUGAUCACUACUUUAGGACUCCAGGGUGGUUUUGAUGUGAAAGACACAGUUUGGAAAGUCAUGAGAUGCAUUGGUAAACUCAUUGGCAAAACAACUUAACUGGAGGGUCAUAAAUGGAAAGGCGGAGUUUCAAAACUUGCUUCUAAAAGAAGUAAUCAUAGGUGCUGUAAGACGCAACAGUCCAACAUCAAAAGCCACAGUUCAAGAAAUUGAGAUGUGGAUAAAGAGAUGGCUACACCUUUCUAUGGACUGUGAGGGAGGAAGGCGAGAAAUACAAGAGUGGAAAAGAGCCAGGCUAGGAAACCAACACUCAUCUCAUGUAAAUAUUUAAAGCAGACCACCGCUUUGGACAUUUUAGUUGUUCGGCACAAAACCCUUUGGACGUUGGACAUGUUUUGCUGACCAUUGUAGUUCUUAUUUGGAAAACUAGUUCUUGUUUUUUAUAAUGACAGGAUGCAUGCAAACGUUUGAUCUUAAUGCAAGUGAUUUAUUCAUGCGCAAAUGCUAAAGGGGAAUUUCACCAAUUUC
This is a long non-coding RNA of Pygocentrus nattereri (red-bellied piranha), 616 nucleotides long. RefSeq lists it as uncharacterized. NCBI's taxonomy places the organism in Eukaryota, Metazoa, Chordata, Actinopteri, Characiformes, Serrasalmidae. The record is from RefSeq and is a predicted model, not a curated record. The transcript is spliced from 3 exons.